UUUUGGUGAGGUGCCUUCCGAGUUCCCUGGAACGGGACGCCAUAGAGGGUGAGAGCCCCGUCUGGUUGGACGCCGAACCUCUGUAAAGCUCCUUCGACGAGUCGAGUAGUUUGGGAAUGCUGCUCUAAAUGGGAGGUAUAUGUCUUCUAAAGCUAAAUACCGGCCAGAGACCGAUAGCGCACAAGUAGAGUGAUCGAAAGAUGAAAAGAACUUUGAAAAGAGAGUUAAACAGUACGUGAAAUUGUUGAAAGGGAAGCGCUUGUGACCAGACUUGGGCUUGGUUGAUCAUCCGGGGUUCUCCCCGGUGCACUCUUCCGGCUCAGGCCAGCAUCAGUUCGCCCUGGGGGAUAAAGGCAUCGGGAACGUGGCUCUCUCCGGGGAGUGUUAUAGCCCGUUGCGUAAUACCCUGUGG
This 412-nucleotide ribosomal RNA is filed under the name Fusarium vanettenii. RNAcentral's name for it is "partial large subunit ribosomal RNA". It matches the Rfam family "Eukaryotic large subunit ribosomal RNA", at positions 163 to 583 of the family's 3401-position model. RNAcentral also lists the same sequence under 1 other name. The record is from RNAcentral. Lineage: Eukaryota; Fungi; Ascomycota; Sordariomycetes; Hypocreales; Nectriaceae.